RNAcentral lists this ribosomal RNA (465 nucleotides) under uncultured beta proteobacterium. RNAcentral's name for it is "bacterial SSU rRNA". It matches the Rfam family "Bacterial small subunit ribosomal RNA", at positions 198 to 644 of the family's 1533-position model. The record is from RNAcentral. Lineage: Bacteria; Pseudomonadati; Pseudomonadota; Betaproteobacteria.
GGAGAAAAGCAGGGGAUCGCAAGACCUUGCGCUCUUGGAGCGGCCGAUGCCUGAUUAGCUAGUUGGUGAGGUAAAGGCUUACCAAGGCGACGAUCAGUAGCUGGUCUGAGAGGACGACCAGCCACACUGGGACUGAGACACGGCCCAGACUCCUACGGGAGGCAGCAGUGGGGAAUUUUGGACAAUGGGGGAAACCCUGAUCCAGCCAUGCCGCGUGAGUGAGGAAGGCCUUCGGGUUGUAAAGCUCUUUCAGCCGGAACGAAACGGUCACGGCUAAUACCUGUGACUACUGACGGUACCGGAAGAAGAAGCACCGGCUAACUACGUGCCAGCAGCCGCGGUAAUACGUAGGGUGCAAGCGUUAAUCGGAAUUACUGGGCGUAAAGCGUGCGCAGGCGGUUUUGUAAGUCAGAUGUGAAAUCCCCGGGCUUAACCUGGGAACUGCGUUUGAAACUACAAAGCUAG